Molecule: ribosomal RNA, 254 nt
Filed under: uncultured bacterium
Lineage: Bacteria
Description: partial 16S ribosomal RNA
Rfam family: Bacterial small subunit ribosomal RNA
Source: RNAcentral
UACGAACCGUACAAACGUUAUUCGGAAUCACUGGGCUUAAAGGGUGCGUAGGCGGCCAUGUAAGUGAGGUGUGAAAUCCCCUCGGCUCAACCGAGGAACUGCGCUUCAUACUGCAUGGCUUGAGGGAGACAGGGGUAAGCGGAACUGAUGGUGGAGCGGUGAAAUGCGUUGAUAUCAUCAGGAACACCGGUGGCGAAAGCGGCUUACUGGGUCUCUUCUGACGCUGAGGAACGAAAGCUAGGGUAGCGAACGGG